ACUCUGCCAAACUUUUUUAUUAUCCCUCACAUUUCUCAUGCACGCAUAUAUGGAGAAUGAAAAUAAAGUCUUUCUUUCAUUUUCACAAGUACACAACUUUUUAUUCUUUUAUCUUUUUGUGCAUAGUGUAGAGGAAGCCGUAGGUAAAACCUACUGAUGUAACUUUUAUACUUUAUUAAUGGAAGAAGAAAAAUUUAACGAUAAAGACAUAUAAGGUCCC
This 220-nucleotide long non-coding RNA is filed under the name Solanum tuberosum (potato). RNAcentral's name for it is "long non-coding RNA (STUB_LNC006746)". Lineage: Eukaryota; Viridiplantae; Streptophyta; Magnoliopsida; Solanales; Solanaceae. The record is from RNAcentral.